GAACAAGUGCCGUUCCCCUUAGUGCUGCAGCUAACGCAUUAAGCACUCCGCCUGGGGAGUACGGUCGCAAGACUGAAACUCAAAGGAAUUGACGGGGGCCCGCACAAGCGGUGGAGCAUGUGGUUUAAUUUGAAGCAACGCGAAGAACCUUACCAGGUCUUGACAUCCUUUGACAAUCCUAGAGAUAGGACGUCCCCUUCGGGGGCAGAGUGACAGGUGGUGCAUGGUUGUCGUCAGCUCGUGUCGUGAGAUGUUGGGUUAAGUCCCGCAACGAGCGCAACCCUUGAUUUUAGUUGCCAGCAUUCAGUUGGGCACUCUAAGGUGACUGCCGGUGACAAACCGGAGGAAGGUGGGGAUGACGUCAAAUCAUCAUGCCCCUUAUGACCUGGGCUACACACGUGCUACAAUGGACAGAACAAAGGGCAGCGAAACCGCGAGGUUAAGCCAAUCCCACAAAUCUGUUCUCAGUUCGGAUCGCAGUCUGCAACUCGACUGCGUGAAGCUGGAAUCGCUAGUAAUCGCGGAUCAGCAUGCCGCGGUGAAUACGUUCCCGGGCCUUGUACACACCGCCCGUCACACCACGAGAGUUUGUAACACCCGAAGUCGGUGAGGUAACC
Molecule: ribosomal RNA, 617 nt
Filed under: Bacillus subtilis
Lineage: Bacteria; Bacillati; Bacillota; Bacilli; Caryophanales; Bacillaceae
Description: bacterial SSU rRNA
Rfam family: Bacterial small subunit ribosomal RNA
Source: RNAcentral